Molecule: long non-coding RNA, 940 nt
Organism: Hemicordylus capensis (graceful crag lizard)
Lineage: Eukaryota; Metazoa; Chordata; Lepidosauria; Squamata; Cordylidae
Exons: 3
Source: RefSeq, a predicted model, not a curated record
GAAACAAUAAGGAGGAGGAAGUGGAGGAGCAUCUGCUUUGCAUGCAGAAGGUCCCGGGUUCAAUCCCUGACAGCAUCUUCAGAAAACAAGAUGCUGAAAAUGUACAUAUGAAAAAAAGCACUGAAGAAGAACAGAAAGCUGGCACCACACAGAAAGAAAGAAAGAAAGAGAAAGAAAGAAAGAAAGAAGCAAUCAAUGCAGGAGAGAAUUCAUCCCAAGAUGGCACAGGCAGACUGGAUGGCACAAGGCAGGUUGGCAGCAUGGCAGAACAAUGGUGGCAAGGUGGAACACAACAGGCAGAAAUGCAGCAAAGCAAGAAGCAAAGCUAUCUCUUCUUCUUCCACGAGGCAAAAAGAAAAAAUGACUGCCUGUUGCCCCUUUAAAUUACCCUUGAAAAUCCCUCCGUGAACUGGCCCCCACCAUUGCCCCUUCUUUGACCUUCCCCUGGCCAAUAAGGGGUCAUGUUGCACUUUGCAGAGCCGAAAGAACCAAUCAGGAAUGAGGAGACAAUUCUCAGCAGAUCAGCCCAUGCUUUCCUAUACCACUCCGAAGGCUGGAAGGGUGGGAAAUUCAAAUCAACGUCAAACACAAAAUGGAGACUGACUCCAAAAUGGAGGUACGAAACAACAAAACUUUCUGAGCCAAAACAGGCACGAUUCAUUUUGUUGACAGAACUUUCAGAAGGUGCAAAUGGGCGAUUUGUUCUGUAUACAAAUCGCCCGAAACUGCCUGGUUUGGGUACAGAUCGCUCUGUACCCAAAAUGUUUCACACAUCCCUACAAAAUACACUUUCUCAAGGGAAACCUACCUCAUGGGCAGGUAAAAUGUGUGAGAGCUGGCAACCUUAGCAACAGCACAGCCAUCUCACUGCUGCAUGCUUCAAAUACUGAGUCACCUCCCAUGGUCUGAAUGAUGGCAUGGCAGGUCUGCUGGAAAUCCC